GCCUAGCCGUAACACACUAUAAACGUUCGCCAACCACUACGAGUGAUAACUUAAAACUUAAAAGACUUGACGGUACUUCAUCCAGCCUAGAGGAGCCUGUCUAAUAACCGACAACCCACGAUUAACCCGACCCUUUCUUCCAACAGUCUAUAUACCGCCGUCGUCAGCCUACCUUGUAAAAGCAAUAAAGUAGGCUCAAUAGCACCACACUAAAACGACAGGUCGAGGUGUAACCCAUGAAAAGGACUAAGAUGGACUACAUUCUCAAGCCGAGAACACGGAUAAUACUAUGAAAAUAGCAUUUGAAGGCGGAUUUAGUAGUAAGAUAAGAAUAAAAUACCUAACUGAACAUUAACGCAAUGAGAUCGGG
RNAcentral lists this ribosomal RNA (370 nucleotides) under Deinagkistrodon acutus (Chinese moccasin). Its description in RNAcentral is "partial 12S ribosomal RNA". The record is from RNAcentral. Lineage: Eukaryota; Metazoa; Chordata; Lepidosauria; Squamata; Viperidae.